UACGGAGGGUGCGAGCGUUAAUCGGAAUUACUGGGCGUAAAGCGCACGCAGGCGGUUUGUUAAGCAAGAUGUGAAAGCCCCGGGCUCAACCUGGGAACUGCAUUUUGAACUGGCAGACUAGAGUCUUGGAGAGGGGGGUGGAAUUCCAGGUGUAGCGGUGAAAUGCGUAGAGAUCUGGAGGAACAUCAGUGGGCCGAAGGACGGCCCCCUGGCCGAAAGCACUGACGCUCAUGGUGCGAAAGUGUAGGGUAGCGAACAUGGAUUAGACGUACCCGGGUAGUCC
RNAcentral lists this ribosomal RNA (283 nucleotides) under uncultured bacterium. Its description in RNAcentral is "partial 16S ribosomal RNA". It matches the Rfam family "Bacterial small subunit ribosomal RNA", at positions 524 to 796 of the family's 1533-position model. The record is from RNAcentral.